RNAcentral lists this ribosomal RNA (100 nucleotides) under Sorex araneus (European shrew). The record is from RNAcentral. Lineage: Eukaryota; Metazoa; Chordata; Mammalia; Eulipotyphla; Soricidae.
CAUAGCACCCUGAACGUGCCCAAUCUUGUCUGAUCUCUGAAGCUAAGUGAGGUUGGGCCUGGUUAGUACUUGGAUGGGAGACCUCCUGAGAAUACGGGAU